AUACGGAGGGAACAAGCGUUAUUCGGAAUCACUGGGCGUAAAGGACGCGUAGGCGGGUUAUUAAGUCGGGUGUGAAAUCCAAUGGCUCAACCAUUGAACUGCAUUCGAAACUGAUAACCUAGAGUAUGGAAGGGGCAGGUGGAAUUAGUGGUGUAGGAGUAAAAUCCGUAGAUAUCACUAGGAAUACCGAAAGCGAAGGCGACCUGCUGGGACAUUACUGACGCUGAGGCGUGAAAGCGUGGGGAGCAAACAGGAUUAGAAACCCUAGUAGUCC
RNAcentral lists this ribosomal RNA (274 nucleotides) under uncultured bacterium. Its description in RNAcentral is "partial 16S ribosomal RNA". It matches the Rfam family "Bacterial small subunit ribosomal RNA", at positions 523 to 796 of the family's 1533-position model. The record is from RNAcentral.